This 591-nucleotide ribosomal RNA is filed under the name Trichoderma asperellum. Its description in RNAcentral is "eukaryotic LSU rRNA". The stretch from base 186 to 339 matches the Rfam family "5.8S ribosomal RNA". Lineage: Eukaryota; Fungi; Ascomycota; Sordariomycetes; Hypocreales; Hypocreaceae. The record is from RNAcentral.
UACCGAGUUUACAACUCCCAAACCCAAUGUGAACGUUACCAAACUGUUGCCUCGGCGGGGUCACGCCCCGGGUGCGUCGCAGCCCCGGAACCAGGCGCCCGCCGGAGGAACCAACCAAACUCUUUCUGUAGUCCCCUCGCGGACGUAUUUCUUACAGCUCUGAGCAAAAAUUCAAAAUGAAUCAAAACUUUCAACAACGGAUCUCUUGGUUCUGGCAUCGAUGAAGAACGCAGCGAAAUGCGAUAAGUAAUGUGAAUUGCAGAAUUCAGUGAAUCAUCGAAUCUUUGAACGCACAUUGCGCCCGCCAGUAUUCUGGCGGGCAUGCCUGUCCGAGCGUCAUUUCAACCCUCGAACCCCUCCGGGGGAUCGGCGUUGGGGAUCGGGACCCCUCACACGGGUGCCGGCCCCGAAAUACAGUGGCGGUCUCGCCGCAGCCUCUCCUGCGCAGUAGUUUGCACAACUCGCACCGGGAGCGCGGCGCGUCCACGUCCGUAAAACACCCAACUUUCUGAAAUGUUGACCUCGGAUCAGGUAGGAAUACCCGCUGAACUUAAGCAUAUCAAUAAGCGGAGGAAAAGAAACCAACCGUCC